CGGACCGGCGCACGGGUGAGUAACGCGUAUGCAACUUGCCUAUCAGGAGGGGGAGUAACCCGGCGAAAGUCGGACUAAUACCGCAUGAAGCAGGGGCCCCGCAUGGGGAUAUUUGCUAAAGAUUCAUCGCUGAUAGAUAGGCAUGCGUUCCAUUAGGCAGUUGGCGGGGUAACGGCCCACCAAACCGACGAUGGAUAGGGGUUCUGAGAGGAAGGUCCCCCACAUUGGUACUGAGACACGGACCAAACUCCUACGGGAGGCAGCAG
RNAcentral lists this ribosomal RNA (266 nucleotides) under uncultured bacterium. Its description in RNAcentral is "partial 16S ribosomal RNA". It matches the Rfam family "Bacterial small subunit ribosomal RNA", at positions 91 to 354 of the family's 1533-position model. The record is from RNAcentral.